This 757-nucleotide ribosomal RNA is filed under the name Hypocrella minutispora. RNAcentral's name for it is "Aschersonia minutispora eukaryotic LSU rRNA". It matches the Rfam family "Eukaryotic large subunit ribosomal RNA", at positions 146 to 918 of the family's 3401-position model. Lineage: Eukaryota; Fungi; Ascomycota; Sordariomycetes; Hypocreales; Clavicipitaceae. The record is from RNAcentral.
UAAUUUGCAGAGGAUGCUUCUGGCGAGGUGCCUUCCGAGUUCCCUGGAACGGGACGCCACAGAGGGUGAGAGCCCCGUCUGGUCGGACAACCGAGCCUCUGUGAAGCCCCUUCGACGAGUCGAGUAGUUUGGGAAUGCUGCUCUAAAUGGGAGGUAUAUGUCUUCUAAAGCUAAAUACCGGCCAGAGACCGAUAGCGCACAAGUAGAGUGAUCGAAAGAUGAAAAGCACUUUGAAAAGAGGGUUAAACAGUACGUGAAAUUGUUGAAAGGGAAGCGCUCAUGACCAGACCUGGUCCCGGCGAAUCACCCGGCGUUCUCGCCGGUGCACUUCGACGGGCUCUCCAGGCCAGCAUCAGUCCGCGCCGGGGGACAAAGGCGGCGGGAACGUGGCUCCCCAGGGAGUGUUAUAGCCCGCCGCGCAAUGCCCCGGGGGCGGACUGAGGCCCGCGCGUCACCGCAAGGAUGCUGGCGUAAUGGUCAUCAGCGACCCGUCUUGAAACACGGACCAAGGAGUCGUCCUCGUAUGCGAGUGUUGGGGCGUCAAACCCCCCGCGCGGAAUGAAAGUGAACGGCAGGUGAGAGCCCUCGCGGGCGCAUCAUCGACCGAUCCUGAUGUUCUCGGAUGGAUUUGAGUAGGAGCAUACGGGGCCGGACCCGAAAGAAGGUGAACUAUGCCUGUGUAGGGUGAAGCCAGAGGAAACUCUGGUGGAGGCUCGCAGCGGUUCUGACGUGCAAAUCGAUCGUCAAACAUGGGCAU